CAGUAGCCGCGGUAAUACGUAGGUGGCAAGCGUUGUCCGGAUCUACUGGGCGUAAAGCGAACGCAGGCGGACUGUUAAGUAGGAAGUGAAAGGUCGGAGCUCAACUCCAACAUUGCUUCCUAUACUGGCAGUCUUGAGUAGCGGAGAGGAAGGGGGAACGACACGUGUAGCGGUGAAAUGCGUUGAUAUGUGUCGGAACACCCAUGGCGAAAGCACCCUUCUGGACGCAAACUGACGCUCAGGUUCGAAGGCCAAGGUAGCGAACAGGAUUAGAUACCCCAGUAGUCCCUGUCUCUUAUAC
Molecule: ribosomal RNA, 301 nt
Filed under: uncultured bacterium
Lineage: Bacteria
Description: partial 16S ribosomal RNA
Rfam family: Bacterial small subunit ribosomal RNA
Source: RNAcentral